GACGAACGCUAGCGGCGUGCUUAACACAUGCAAGUCGAACGGCAAGUCUCCUGCUUGCUUUAGUCCUCGAGUGGCGCAAGGGUGCGUAACACGUGUGUAAUCUGCCCUCCACUCUGGGAUAAGCCUGCGAAACUGGGUCUAAUCCUGGAUAUGACCUUUCUCCUUCUUGUGUUUGUUGUAAAGUUUUGCGGUGUCGCAUGAGCGCGAGUCCUAUCGGCUUUUUGUUGGGGUGAUGGCCUACCAAGGCGACGACGGGUAGCCGGCCUGAGAGGGUGAUAGGCAAAAUUGGGACAGAGAUACGGCGGAGACAGCUACGGGAGGUAGCAGAGGGGAAUAGUGAACAAGGGGCGGAAGCGUGAUGCAGAGAAGCAGGGUGAGGGAGGACGGACUUUGGGUUGUAAACCGCUUAAAGCAGGGAUGAAGCGUAAGUGAAGGUAAAUGGAGAAGAAGGACAGGCUAAAUAAGUG
RNAcentral lists this ribosomal RNA (467 nucleotides) under uncultured bacterium. Its description in RNAcentral is "partial 16S ribosomal RNA". It matches the Rfam family "Bacterial small subunit ribosomal RNA", at positions 28 to 507 of the family's 1533-position model. The record is from RNAcentral.